ACAAAAAUAAUAAUUAAUAAAAUUUCUGUUUAAUAAUGUUAUAUGGCUGGCGUGAGUCACGUGACCAUACCGUCACGUGACCAUUCCGUCUCUUCCUCACGCCAGAGCGCACAGCCGGUCACAACAAGCUGCAAGCAAGCACCCACAUUUUCUUCAUGGCCGAGCGAGUGGUGCAGAGCUUUUAGGACAUACAUAUUGAUUGGGAGAAACGGACUAACACUGACAUGCUUCGUAAGGACAGGAGGCGGAAGCAGCGACAGAAAGAGCUAUGUGAGGCAGCUAAAGGCAGUGGGUCCCUCACCAGCUGGAUAAAAGAGUGCAGUCUGAGAUCAACACAGCCUUGCCCUCCAGCAUCAUCAGCAGCAGCAAGAGGAGCAACCCUGCAACAGCUACAUUGUGCCCCAUCAUCAGGUAAAAUAGGACAGCAAUAGAUCAGGAGGUGGAGCAGGUUGUCCAGUAAUCGGAACGUUGCAGGUUUGAUCCUGACUUCAAUCAGAGAUUGAUGCUGUUGAGUCCUUGGGCAAGACACUUAACCUGCUUAGCCUGCUGGUGGUGGUCGGAGGGACUAGUGGCGCCUGUGCUCAGCAGCUUCACCUCUGUCAGUGCGCUCCAGAGCAGCUAUGGCUACAUCAUAGCUCAUCACCAUCAGUGUGUUAAUGUGUGUGUGUGAAUGACUGAUUGUGUUGUAAUGUGCCUUGGGGGGUUGUAGAACCCUAAGAAGGCAUUAUACAAAUACAGACCAUUUACCUAAACAAGUUACUUUUGCUUUACAUUGUCCUUAUGGUGUAUAUAAUGAUUCGCUUCCAUUUUGAAUUUCUAAUAAAUAUGAAUUGUUAUUCAGCCGGGUAUACUGUGGUUAUGUCAUGGUGUUUGAAAAUAUUAUUCUGUGUGCCCCUUUUUAAAUUUGAGCACCCGCCCCUUCAAAGGUCUCUGCACAGCCCUGAUUAAUAAGAUAUAUAUUGUAGACAUGUGCAUAUGUACACAUGACUGUAAUAAGAUAUAUAUUGUAGACAUGCAUAUAUAGACAUGACUGUAAUAAGAUAUCGUAUAUUGUAAACAUGUGCAUAUAUAGAUAUAACUGUAAUAAUAAAUAUAUUGUAGACAUGCA
This is a non-coding RNA of Nothobranchius furzeri (turquoise killifish), 1108 nucleotides long. NCBI's taxonomy places the organism in Eukaryota, Metazoa, Chordata, Actinopteri, Cyprinodontiformes, Nothobranchiidae. The record is from RefSeq and is a predicted model, not a curated record.